RNAcentral lists this ribosomal RNA (441 nucleotides) under uncultured bacterium. Its description in RNAcentral is "partial 16S ribosomal RNA". It matches the Rfam family "Bacterial small subunit ribosomal RNA", at positions 338 to 795 of the family's 1533-position model. The record is from RNAcentral.
CCUACGGGUGGCAGCAGUGGGGAAUAUUGCACAAUGGGGGAAACCCUGAUGCAGCAAUGCCGCGUGUGUGAAGAAGUAUUUCGGUAUGUAAAGCUCUAUCAGUGGGGAAGAAGAAAGACGGUACCUGACUAAGAAGCCCCGGCUAACUACGUGCCAGCAGCAGCGGUAAUACGUAGGGGGCAAGCGUUAUCCGGAUUUACUGGGCGUAAAGGGAGCGUAGACGGCUGUGCAAGUCUGAAGUGAAAGCCCGUGGCUCAACCGCGGAACUGCUUUGGAAACUGUAUAGCUUGAGUACUGGAGAGGCAGGCGGAAUUCCUAGUGUAGCGGUGAAAUGCGUAGAGAUCAGGAGCAAUACCAGUGGCGAAGGCGGCCCGCUGGACAGAAACUGACGUUGAGGUGCGAAAGCGUGGGGAGCAAACAGGAUUAGAUACCCGUGUAGUC